CUUAAAAAAUAAAACAGUAUAUAUAUUCAUUUUUCCAUUUAUAAUGUAAAUAAUAAAUUUGCCACAUUUGUUUCUGCAUAUUGCCUUUUCAGCCAGCCUAUGGCAUUUGUUCUAUGUUUUAGUAAAGAGCUGCAGUAUUAAAGGAUAUACCUUAAUGUGUUUAUCCAGUUUCCCCAUCAGUGGACAUUAAGAUUGUUUUCAGAGUAGUCUUACAAACCGUACAGUUUGUCAUUUCAGACACAUAUGAGAAUAUUAGUAGGAUAAAUUAUUUUAAGUAUGCGUUUAUAAAUUUAUGGAUAUUGCCAUAUUUCCAUCUGAUGGGAAGUAUAUUCCUGUUAACAAUAUGUCAAAGUGCCUGUUUUUCUAAACUGUCUUCAGUGCAGUGAAUUAUUAAACUUCUGGAUCUCUGCCAGUCUGAGAGGUGAAAAAUAACAUCUCUGUGUAACUUUAAUUUGCAUUUCUCUGAGAUUGAGCAACUUUGUGUAAUUUAAAAGAUAAUUUAGGAGGUGGAUCCUGUACCUGGUGAGCCCCUCCCAGCCUUCCCUCUGGCCCAGCUCCAGCCACCAUGUGUCUCUCCUCCUCCCCACCUUGUGGAGGGCAGCAUCCCUCCAGCUUUGGCUCUGUGGAUGGCUGUCCCAGAGCAACUGCUCAGGACUGACCCACACCCCCAGGACUGCUGACGUCUCUGGGGAGCUUCCCUGGCCCCCACCAGACAUCUUGCACCCGGGAGCCCCCUCAGGCCAUUAGCAUCAAGGAGGCUAGGUCCUCAAAUCUGCCUGCCCCGGAGAGGACCAUGGCUAGGCAGAGUAAGGAGCCAAACUCCUGGCAGGCCCUCAUGUCUGCACAGCCUUCACCACGCUGCAGGUCCAUGCCUUGGAGGGCAUCUUCUGGCACCACAAGUACCUGGGCCCUCUGAAGCAGAAGAGGUUGGCCAGGGAGAUACAGCUCUCGGAGGUCCAGAUAAAAACCUGGUUUCACAAUCACCGGAUGAAACACAAAUGGCAAAUGCAGGACUCCCAGCUGAACACCCCUUUCUUGGGGUAUCUCCACGCACCCCUGGCUUUCCACUCACUGUCUUCUGACCUUGCCAAUGGCCUGUAGCUGCUGUGCCCUUGGGCACCCCUACCUGGGCCUCAGGCUCUGAUGCUGCCCCUGGCUCCUUUUGGGGUCUCUGCCAAGUGGAACAAGAGGCCCUUGCCUCUGUGGGGGCUUUCUGCUGUGGGCAGCCUCUGGCCUACCACCCUCCCAAGCCCAGGAAGUGGUGUGCAUAUUCUGGGACCAGCUCUCUCUAAGGUGCCCUGGGGCCUGUGUGCUCUGCCGGAGACAGGGGAUAUCCUGCAUUUUGAGGAAGCACCUGACUCCCUGCUUCCCACACACGCAGUCUGUGCAGAUUGCACCUAGUGUCUACCCGGAGGACUCAGCUUUCUGUUUACAUCGUGGUGGCACCUCUCACCCUGAUGCAUGCAAAGGUUCUAGAGACUUCUGGAAAAUAUAUUUAUAAAAACCACCUCUUCACUGAAAGUUACCAAAAGGGUCAGUUUAGGAAGUAAAUGAAGGGUCAGUGAACAGAGUCAAAUGUAGAAGUGGGCUUGUUAUAGAUAGGGCUUUCAGCAUAUGAUAAAAAGAUAAUUUGUUUUUUAAAAAGCAUUGGAAAAACUGGUUUUCCAGUUAGAAAAGGUAAAGGUUGUAAGCUUUGUGUGUAAAAAAGAAAACCAUGAAGGAUUGGAAGGGAAUUCAGAUGUCUUGUUUAUAACCUGUGGUUUGAGUUCCUCUUAACAAGGACUCCAAAGCUGAAAAGCAUGAGGGAACAAAGGUGAAAAUUAAGGUGGGUUGCUGGGGCCCUGCAGUGGUUCUAGGCCGUGCAUGAGCCAGGACUGUGCCUGCAGCAUGCUUGAGGCUGCUCUUCUUGGGCCAGGGAAAGCGGGUAGCUGGGACCUGCAGCUGUGCCUGGACUGAAGCUGUCCCACAUGUCCCCACCCUCCAGCAUGUGCUUACCUGUCCUCCUCCUCACAGUAGCCUCAGGACAAAACAGAAUGACUCAAGGAGAGCACUUCCUACAAAAGUCUAGAAGUGCCCAAAAUGGGAGGCACGGAAGCCCCUCCUCUCCCUCAUUGAUGGACCAUUCUUGGUGCAGACUCCUGACUACAGGCACCGAACCUUAGAAAAGCGUGCAACCGUCCGUGUCGCCCCAGAGUACCCAGGAGGCAGGCAGUGCAGGGCGCCCAGACAGACAGGUUCAGCCUGCAGGACUGGGAGGCCACCUGUGAAACCAACCCAGGCAUCCCAACAGGAACAAAAGUGUGGUCCUGUGGCCGUGUCCACAGCAAGUUCCACUUUCCCCUUGCCUAUUUCUGCAUUGUUGGAAGUGUUUACAACUAGCAUGUGCUUUUAUAAUACAACUUCAGGUAAGAGUGGGGGAAAAAAUCAUUUAAAUUUAUUUUUCUGAGCAUUCUCUGUUGAUUUUUUUUACCCAUUUUUAUUAGGGUAUCAAGGUUUUUCUGACUCGUUUGUAGAAGCUCUUUAUAUUUUUUAGAAAUGAGCGCUUUGCCUAUGGUAAAACUGAAAAUAUUGUUCCCUAGGUGGUCAUUUACAUUUUCUGCAUUGCAGAAGAUACCAUUAGCUAUUUUUAAUUUUUUUAAUUUAAAUAUUUCUCAGUUUAUUGUAACUUUUCUAGGAAUUGGGUGAUAUUUAGGAAGCCUUUCCUUACUCCAAGAUUAUAAAAAUAGUUUUCUUCUGGA
Molecule: RNA transcript, 2738 nt
Organism: Cebus imitator (Panamanian white-faced capuchin)
Lineage: Eukaryota; Metazoa; Chordata; Mammalia; Primates; Cebidae
Gene name: homeobox protein VENTX-like
Exons: 1
Source: RefSeq, a predicted model, not a curated record